CGCAUCUGGGCAGCCGGCGCCGAAGCAUGAACAGCUCGCAGGAGGGCGCCACGGCCCGGGGCGCCUGGCAGAGCUCCUGCUGCAACCAGUCGGGGGUGCCGCUGGAGCCCCCCGAGGGGCCGCGCGCCGUGCAGGCGGCGGUGCUGGGCGUGCUGUCGCUGCUCGUGCUGUGCGGGGUCCUCUUCCUGGCCGCCGGCCUCCUGCUCCGCGCCCAGGGUUUAAGGGCGCUGCUGGCCCGAGAGCUGCGCUCGUCCCGGGAGGGCGAGCCCGGCGGCGCCAGCGUCGAUGACGACGACGACUCCUAGGCGCCCGGCUGCGUUCGGGGGUCGCGGCCUCCCGGCGAUCCGUGGACUCCAUGCCAGACUUUGAGGGAACCGUCCCCCAGCACCCGACGUCUGCAGCGGGGAGCCCUGCCCGAUGCUGGUGCGCUCGCACAGAGUCACCUCUCUGCUGGAAGGAGCCACGUCUAGCUCACUUUUGGAUUCCCAGCGCCCCACACAGUGCUGAGCACAUAAUGGCGCCACAGGACCGUACCCCUUCCCACCUGUGCGAUCCGUUUGGGGGAGAUGACAGAAGCCAGAAACCAGAGAAACCCUUUGCAAGAGAGAACCCCUUUCAACUGGGGAACGAAACACUAGCCGACGCUUAAAACAGGCAGUGACUUGCUGAUUCCUGCAGCUUGCUCUUCUCAGCGUGAACUCUGGUUGACCAUAGGGUCUGCAGGACUCUGGGCCAAUGCAUAGGUGAAGAUGACAGAGCCCAGUUUUGAGGACAUUGGGGAUAACAAAAUGAUUUUAUUACACAUCGUAAA
Molecule: long non-coding RNA, 811 nt
Organism: Capra hircus (goat)
Lineage: Eukaryota; Metazoa; Chordata; Mammalia; Artiodactyla; Bovidae
Exons: 3
Source: RefSeq, a predicted model, not a curated record